RNA transcript from Papaver somniferum (opium poppy), 2052 nucleotides. RefSeq lists it as uncharacterized. The record is from RefSeq and is a predicted model, not a curated record. Lineage: Eukaryota; Viridiplantae; Streptophyta; Magnoliopsida; Ranunculales; Papaveraceae. The transcript is spliced from 5 exons.
GCUUAAUUUCUUCUCACUGGUCACCAAACUCCUUUUCAGGACCUUUUCGUCUAAAGAAAAAUAAAUUCAAUUCAGCGAGAAUAUUUGCAUAAAAAUGACAAAUCAUCUCUGCUGGGAAAUUUCUCUCAAAUUUCUCUCUCUAUUUCUUCAUACAGGAAAAUCCCCUUUUUCAUCGUCUUCUUUGUGAGACCUGCUAAAGUUGAACCUAACAUGGACGCUACUGAUUGGAGAACACAACUUCAACCUGAAUAUCGACAGAGAAUCGUCACUAAGAUAACGGAGAUUCUGAAGAGACACCUUCCAAUUUCUGGUCCGGAGGGAUUGAUAGAGCUUCGAAUAAUAUCGAGGAAAAGAUAUUCACUGUUGCCACAAGUCAGACGAAUGGAGUUGCUAAUUCUUUACCGUUAAGUGGUGGUAGCCAAAAUCCACAAUAUCCAGCGUCUCAAAGUAUGCAGUCUCAAGUGCGCAACCCAGGGCAGUUACAAAUUUCUUUAGCUAACCAGUCUCUAGCAUGGCAGCAGCUGUUGUCCCAGAAAAUUCAGAAUGAUAUCGCAAAUCCUGGAAUUCAAGGACCCAGAUCAUGGUCACAAAUUCAAACUAACCAUUCUAAUGUUGAAUCUAACAUGGACGCUACUGAUUGGAAAACCCUACUUCAACCUGAAUCUCGAACACGCAUAGUCACUAAGAUGGUGGAAAUUCUGAAGAGACACCUUCCAUUUACUGGCCCUGAGGGAUUGGUAGAGCUUGAUAAACUUGCUGUAAGAUUCGAAGAAAAGAUUUUUACUGCUGCUGCUGCAAGCCAGGUAUAUCAUUCAAUGUGGUGCGCCAGUGUUACUGCUUGACUAGUUUUUUCUACUGAUAUGCUCUUAUUUUCACUUCAUAUAAUUAACCCAUGAAGUACCUAGUUGCUAAGUCUGCGAGAUUUUGAUUGAUUAAAAUUGAAAAUGCGACAUUGUUAUGUGCUCAUGCUUCAUCGGUGCGUUUUGGGAGAGUUGCGAGUAUGUGGGCACAAAUAUUUCACCGCUUAAAGGCAUUAUAAAGUAGUUAGUAUAGGAACUAGAAGCAAAUGGGGAUCUUUUCUAAUUUAGAGUUACACUUACUGCGUGACUAACCUGAGACGUGAGCUAUACGAGAGAUAAAUUGUUUAACAUUACAAGUGAGCAUUAUAUUCACGUGUUUCACCUUGAAUUGUUAAAUUACUCAGAAAUUCUUAGUUUUUGUGGAAGAGAGACAGAGUACUUGAACCUUCUUUGCUGUUCUUUAAUUAUUAAGAUCGAUAACGGAGUUGUGGGAGACUUUGGGGACACAUAAAUGAUAAAUUGAGUUUGGGACUGUGGAAUUGUUCUUGGAGAUGUUCAAGCCAUUUUUGCCAUAGUGUUCUUCUGAGAGGUACGAAUCUGCUCAUUGUUAAUUUUCGGUUACAAAUCUUUAGGUGUAUUUGACAUGAAGAUGAAGUACAAAUGCCCUAUCAUAUCCAGUUAGAUAUUACCACCUUUUACGUUAACAUUUAUGAAACAUGAAGUACUCUGUACAUAUACCUUUCUAGUUUACACAAACCUCUUGCAGUACUAAUUGAGUUAUUUGGAGCUGAAGUCUUGAAAGUUACUUGAGCUGUGCUUGUUACCCGAUGUCCCAUUGGGGACAGUACUUAAUCUCCUGCGGGACCUGGCUGAGUCUGAGAAGGGUAUUUAUGCUUCUAUUACAGUAAUGUGUCGGAAGGAUUUGAUGUUAUUAGUUAUCAGUAAGGUAUAAUUUCCUAAGAUCUGGUAAAUACUUUUCUCUUUCUUUGCACCCGUCCUCUGGGUUUUAGGAGGUUAUAAUCUUUAAGCAGUAGCAGCGAUAAGGUGUCACAUUAGAGUAAUAGAUGAUGUGCUAACAGAGCAAAAUCAUGUAAUGAAUACAGUUUGGAUGAUCAACAUAUAAAAUUAUCUUUCGUUGAGAACUGGGUACCAGUGCAUCUUAUGUAAAUCAUGUUUGCCGAUGUAUCAUGAUCUCUGCACCAUAUAUUUGUUUGUAUAUUUACUCAUUGAACUUCUUUUUAACAUGCAACAC